This 371-nucleotide ribosomal RNA is filed under the name uncultured organism. RNAcentral's name for it is "bacterial SSU rRNA". It matches the Rfam family "Bacterial small subunit ribosomal RNA", at positions 526 to 896 of the family's 1533-position model. The record is from RNAcentral.
CGGAGGGGGCGAGCGUUAUUCGGAAUUAUUGGGCGUAAAGGGCGCGUAGGCGGCUUGUUAAGUCAAAGGUGAAAUCCCUCGGCUCAACUGAGGAACUGCCUUUGAAACUAGCGAGCUUGAGGCCGGAGGGGGUAGCGGAAUUCCCAGUGUAGCGGUGAAAUGCGUAGAUACUGGGAGGAACACCAGUGGCGAAGGCGGCUACCUGGACCGGUACUGACGCUGAGGCGCGAAAGCGUGGGUAGCAAACAGGAUUAGAUACCCUGGUAGUCCACGCUGUAAACGAUGGGUGCUCGGUGUCGCGGGUAUCGACCCCUGCGGUGCCUUAGCUAACGCGUUAAGCACCCCGCCUGGGGAGUACGGUCGCAAGGCUG